GGGACGAAAGCAGUGAGUAAAGGGUUUCUUCAAUCGUCAUUCACAAUAUCAACAACUUAGGUCAAAAUCCUGAUCACAUUCUUUCACCCCAAAAAAAAAAAAAAAUCAACAAAUAAUACAUUUCUUAUGUUAGUAACACCACAACAUGGCGUUCUAUUUGUGACCAUACAUCCUCCAUAUGAGUAUACGUGGAGCAAAUCAAGCAAACAAAAUCCUCAUCUCACAAGUCAAAUCCAGCUGAAAGCUCUAAAACACUUCAGCUAUUUUGCUUGCUAAAACACGUUCCCUUCUUUCAAUGUAUCCAAAUGGGAACCAACCUGCUUUCCCUUUGCAUUCUCCUUCGGCCCAGCCAUUAUUUGUAAGCUGUUAAAAAUGCACAGUAGAAUUCAACCAUUCUUGCACUGAAUUCUAUAGAUAUGGGAAUAGGAUAACAUGCUUGGACACCACAGACAAACACACAUAUAUAUAAAGAAUGUGUUAAUUUAGAGAACUUAAAACCUUUCGAACAACAACAUAAUCACCAACUGAUAAAGUCAGCUCCACAUCAGAUUCAGCUUGAUAAGAAUGCAUAACCUAUAGUAGAACAGCAUAUUAACAUUCAACAAAUCAAAAGCUGCUAUAAAAGCCAUGCCAUUUUUAUAUAAGCAAAGUUAAAGGUAAUGACAGAAGGAACAUGGUUACUAACCUCUCCCAAAAAGUAACCCAUGCUGUCUGUUGAGCCAUUAUGUGAUUGAGAAGCAUAUACACCAUUUACUUCUUCAUAUGAAGGUGGUGGUGGCAUGUUGUUCUCAGUACUUGGAGCAGGAGGUGCUUCAAUUCGUUGUCGUUCAGAUAUCAUCUAAUUAUGGAAAUAAUUGUAGAUCACAAACAUAAAUCAGGGCAAAAAACAAUAGGGAACAUUGCAUUGUAAUUCAGCUCCAAAUUAUAGAGAAAGCUAGGUGAAAAGGACAUAUAUCAUGAUUGCAAACCUCAUUUUCAAGCUGAUCAAGUAUCUGAAUAACUCUCUGGUGAUAAGUACGUUCUGCUUCAACCUUCAUAUUAGAUCAUAAAUGAGACAAGGACAAGGCUCCAUAUCUGACCCCCAUCUAACACAAUAUUAAUAACUAAUUUGAACCAUGAUAAAAACAGGGUAUAAAUUGCAUUACCAUUGCAAUAAGUCGCUGGAGAGUCAACCUCUGUUGUUGAGCUUCAACAGCAGCCAUUGCUGCAGCUGCUUCCUUCCCCAAUACUGCCAUGUUUGACUUCAGGUCUUGCAGCUUUGAUUCUGCAGCUUCUAAUUUCAUAGCAAGCUCAGGACUUCCUGGCAUUUCUCUCACUUUUGCCUGUCGUUUGGAAACUUCAAUAGCCUGAGCUUCUGCUUCUUGCCGCAUUCUUUCAUAACGUUGUGCAAGAUGCCGAGCAUCCUCCAAUGGAGCUCCCAUUACCAUUGCUCUUAAUGGCUCUGCGACCUAAAAAUCAAAACAUUUCAACACUCUAUCAUGCAUCUAAUUGAAAGGCAUCAACAACAAAGAUAGUGAGUAAAUAUUAACAAUCAAGUCAAAUAAAUGUUAUUUCAAGUAAACUAAUCAGAAUUAAACAUAAAAAGAUAGGACCUUUCAUAAAAUAAAUUGAAAUGAAAUACAAAUUGUGAUUAAUUUCUAACGGUGUAAAUACUAUGAUUAAUUAACAGAGAACAAAAGAUCACACAAGUUAUUCUAUGUAAUUUGAUUUGUCAUUAAUCAACUCAACGAGCAAAACUGCUAAUACAUUUAGCUAAGACUCAAAGCAUGAGAAAAAAAUUGUUCCUCCACCAAAGGUGCAAUAUUUUGGGCCGAUUUCUAUGUUUGUUAAUUCUCAGGCGUCUUAUAUCUUGGGCAUUACUUUCCAUAUACCAGGUUUGCACCUCCUUCUCUUAGAUGUUUUUCUUUUCUAUAUUUUAAGAAAAUUAUAGAGAGAAUACAUUGGACCAAGCUUAGAUAUUGGGCCACAGCAAUGGCACACACACACACACACAGAUCAAGUUUGUGCAUCUUAUAAGCUUAAGAGAAUUAGAUGUCAAUUCAUGCUCUACUUUGUCAAGCAGCAGAGGCUAGGAUACAUUCUUUUCAUCAUAGACUAUGUUCCUUUCCAAGUCAGAUCAACUAACAAAAUGUUCUUACACUAGUCAGGCCCUAUUUUGAAGCUUUUUAGAUGUUCAUAUGCAGCAGUGAGCACAUGAAAGUUACCCAAGGGGGCUGCAUCCCUUGUGUAUCAAUGUCUAAGCAAACUUGCUGGCACUUUGUUCACAAGUUAGUACUUGUCUUUAUUCCAGGAAAUAAAAAUGUCUCAAGACAUUUAAUCCACAAAAUCUUGCAAAAGUAGCUGAAGAUAAGGCUUUUAGUAGAAGAGAUAUUUUACCCCAAAUCCAAUCUGUUCGCAUACAUUUAGUCCGAUAUUGUAAAGAGGUCCUAAUUCACAUAUCUGGCUAGGUUCUAAAUUUAUUAAUCCAUCUAUAACAACUCAAAUAUGGAUUUUAUUUAUGGAAAUAAUCCUAUCCAUAAUUACUAUUAACAUAAACAUAAUUUACUAUAAAUUUAAAUAAUUUCAUUGAUUGUAAAUAUAAAUAGGAGGGCCUGUGCAUGUGUGUGUCAAUAACUAUUGAAUUCCCAAAUAAAUGAUGGUAUAGGUAACAUAUAUAAAGCAAAAUGAAAUAUUAAUUUUAUUCAAUCUAACGUAUGCUUUUAUGAUUUGAACAAUUAAAUAUAGAUUGAAGUUGUAUUUUGUUGGGAAUGUUUGAAUGGUACGUCAAAAAAGUUGUUAUGGGCUCAAGGCAUGUUGCCAAAGCAAAUUACUUUUCCACUUUCCUUUUUUUAAUCUCUUUGAUAGUGUUAAUAGUUAAGAGUUGUUGUU
This 2868-nucleotide unclassified non-coding RNA is filed under the name Hevea brasiliensis (rubber tree). The record is from RNAcentral. Lineage: Eukaryota; Viridiplantae; Streptophyta; Magnoliopsida; Malpighiales; Euphorbiaceae.